UUGACGGAGAGUUUGAUCCUGGCUCAGGACGAACGCUGGCGGCGUGCCUAAAACAUGCAAGUCGAACGAGGUCCAUCCGGUGGCAACACCGGGGAAGACCUAGUGGCGAACGGGUGAGUAACACGUGAGGAACCUGCCCCGGAGACCGGGAUAACCCUUCGAAAGGAGGGCUAAUACCGGAUAUCCUCAUCGGACCGCAUGAUCCGAUGAGCAAAUGCAUUGUGCUCCGGGAGGGCCUCGCGGCCUAUCAGCUAGUUGGUGAGGUAACGGCUCACCAAGGCUACGACGGGUAGCUGGUCUGAGAGGACGAUCAGCCACACUGGGACUGAGACACGGCCCAGACUCCUACGGGAGGCAGCAGUUAGGAAU
This 369-nucleotide ribosomal RNA is filed under the name Acidimicrobiales bacterium. RNAcentral describes it as "bacterial SSU rRNA". It matches the Rfam family "Bacterial small subunit ribosomal RNA", at positions 1 to 362 of the family's 1533-position model. The record is from RNAcentral. Lineage: Bacteria; Bacillati; Actinomycetota; Acidimicrobiia; Acidimicrobiales.